RNAcentral lists this ribosomal RNA (1556 nucleotides) under TM7 phylum sp. canine oral taxon 363. RNAcentral describes it as "bacterial SSU rRNA". It matches the Rfam family "Bacterial small subunit ribosomal RNA". Lineage: Bacteria; Candidatus Saccharimonadota. The record is from RNAcentral.
GAGUUUGAUCCUGGCUCAGGAUGAACGCUGGCGGCGUGCCUAACACAUGCAAGUCGAGCGGCAGCGAGUUUCUCACUGUUUGUUCCUCUUCUUUCGAGAGCAGGAUGCGGAGAUUUCCGAAAGAAAUUGGUCGUAUCCAAUACGAAGGAGGAAAUCUGGUAGAUGAUUUUUGUUAAGAUGAGAGGAAAAAACUGUGAGGAAUGUCGGCGAGCGGCGGACGGCUGAGUAACGCGUGGGAACAUACCCCAAAGUGAGGGAUAACUGCCCGAAAGGGUGGCUAAUACCGCAUAUGAUCUUCGGAUUAAAGCAUUUAUGCGCUUUGGGAAUGGCCUGCGUCGGAUUAGGUAGUUGGUGAGGUAAAGGCUCACCAAGCCGACGAUCCGUAACUGGUUUGAGAGGAUGACCAGUCAGAUUGGAACUGAGACACGGUCCAGACUCCUACGGGAGGCAGCAGUGAGGAAUCUUCCACAAUGGGCGAAAGCCUGAUGGAGCAACGCCGCGUGCAGGAUGAAAGCCUUCGGGUUGUAAACUGCUUUUAUGAUUGAGGAAUUUGACGGUAGAUCGUGAAUAAGGAUCGGCUAACUACGUGCCAGCAGCCGCGGUCAUACGUAGGAUCCGAGCGUUAUCCGGAGUGACUGGGCGUAAAGAGUUGCGUAGGUGGUUUAUUAAGUAGGUGAUGAAAGCUGGUGGCUCAACCAUUCAGAUUGUUAUCUAAACUGGUAAACUUGAGAGUAGCAGAGGUAACUGGAAUUUCUAGUGUAGGAGUGAAAUCCGUAGAUAUUAGAAGGAACACCAAUGGCGUAGGCAGGUUACUGGGCUAUUUCUGACACUAAGGCACGAAAGCGUGGGGAGCGAACGGGAUUAGAUACCCCGGUAGUCCACGCCCUAAACGAUGGAUACUAGCUGUUUGAGGAAUCGACCCCUUGAGUAGCGAAGCUAACGCGUUAAGUAUCCCGCCUGUGGAGUACGAUCGCAAGAUUAAAACAUAAAGGAAUUGACGGGGACCCGCACAAGCGGUGGAGCAUGUUCUUUAAUUCGAUGCUAAUCGAUAUACCUUACCAAGGCUUGACAUCUCGGGAAGGCCUCCGAAAGGAGACUGUGCCUUUUAGGAACCCGAUGACAGGUGAUGCAUGGCCGUCGUCAGCUCGUGUCGUGAGAUGUUUGGUUAAGUCCAUUAACGAGCGCAACCCUUGCAACUAGUUGGAUUUUUCUAGUUGGACUGCCCCGGUAACGGGGAGGAAGGAGGGGAUGAUGUCAGGUCAUUAUUUCCCUUACGCCUUGGGCUAGAAACGUGCUACAAUGGCUGGUACAAAGUGCCUAAGCGAACUCGCGAGAGCAAGCAAAUCACAUCAAAACCAGUCCUAGUUCGGAUUGGAGGCUGAAACUCGCCUCCAUGAAGUCGGAAUCGCUAGUAAUCGUAAAUCAGCAAGUUACGGUGAAUACGUUCCCGGGUCUUGUACACACCGCCCGUCAAACCAUGAGAGUGACCAACACCCGAAGUCCGAUUCGUCGGCCUAAGGUGGGGGGCAUGAUUGGGGCUAAGUCGUAACAAGGUC